AUUCCAGCUCCAGUUGCGUAUAUUAAAGUUGUUGCAGUUAAAAAGCUCGUAGUUGGAUUUCUGACUUCAAACACCUGACCCUCCCUCGCUAGAGGUGUGUGUGCCGGAGUGUUUGUAUCAUCCUUUCAGUGAUCGGUUCUACCCUUAACCGGGUCGGAACUGUUAACUGGAUCUUUUACUUUGAAGAAAUUGGAGUGUUUAAAGCAGGCUUACGCCAGAACAUAUUAGCAUGGAAUAAUAAUUUAGGACUUUUGUUCUAUUUUGUUGGUUUCUAGGACGAAAGUAAUGAUUGAUAGGGAUAGUUGGGGGUGCUAGUAUUCGGCGGCCAGAGGUGAUAUUCUUUGAUCCGCUGAAGACUAACUUAUGCGAAAGCAUUCACCAAGGAUGUCUUCAUUA
Molecule: ribosomal RNA, 396 nt
Filed under: Cercozoa sp.
Lineage: Eukaryota; Cercozoa
Description: partial small subunit ribosomal RNA
Rfam family: Eukaryotic small subunit ribosomal RNA
Source: RNAcentral